Molecule: ribosomal RNA, 515 nt
Filed under: uncultured bacterium
Lineage: Bacteria
Description: partial 16S ribosomal RNA
Rfam family: Bacterial small subunit ribosomal RNA
Source: RNAcentral
GACGAACGCUGGCGGCGUGCCUAAUACAUGCAAGUCGAGCGAUGAUUAAAGAUAGCUUGCUAUUUUUAUGAAGAGCGGCGAACGGGUGAGUAACGCGUGGGAAAUCUGCCGAGUAGCGGGGGACAACGUUUGGAAACGAACGCUAAUACCGCAUAACAAUGAGAAUCGCAUGAUCCUUAUUUGAAAGAAGCAAUUGCUUCACUACUUGAUGAUCCCGGGUUGUAUUAGCUAGUUGGUAGUGUAAAGGACUACCAAGGCGAUGAUACAUAGCCGACCUGAGAGGGUGAUCGGCCACACUGGGACUGAGACACGGCCCAGACUCCUACGGGAGGCAGCAGUAGGGAAUCUUCGGCAAUGGGGGCGACCCUGACCGAGCAACGCCGCGUGAGUGAAGAAGGUUUUCGGAUCGUAAAACUCUGUUGUUAGAGAAGAACGUUAAGUAGAGUGGAAAAUUACUUAAGUGACGGUAUCUAACCAGAAAGGGACGGCUAACUACGUGCCAGCCGCCGCCGUAA